Long non-coding RNA from Osmerus eperlanus (European smelt), 478 nucleotides. RefSeq lists it as uncharacterized. The transcript is spliced from 4 exons. Lineage: Eukaryota; Metazoa; Chordata; Actinopteri; Osmeriformes; Osmeridae. The record is from RefSeq and is a predicted model, not a curated record.
CUGAGUCCACCACUGAUUGAUCACAUAUUAGAACUAAAUCCGACCAAUCAGACUGAUUACUUUGACACCUCUCCAGCAGAAGGCAGUAUAGCUACUGUAUAUCCUAUGUACAUUGGUUCUGAUGACAAUGGGGGAAAGUAAAUGUACCUUCCAUUCCGAUCUUGCCAUCCCCAUCUCUGUCUCCCGCUGACAGCAGGGUCUUGGUCUCAGUCACGCCUGGACUGCAGCCUUGAUGUCCUCGUCUCUCAUCAUCCCUGAAAGUGCCAUGAUCCUUGAUGUCUGAGGGGUGCUGUAGCAUCUUUGUGAAUCAGAGUGUAAGAGCAAAUAUGACAUCUCCGUCCACAAACCCUGGGAGAUUCCCCACGACACAAAGCACCAACCCCCUUCAUCAGUGUAUUAGAACAGAUAACUUUUUUAUUUUCCUUGAGAAUGAAAUUGACAUCUCACCUUGCUAUUUUGCAAUAUGAUAAAAUCUGUA